This 455-nucleotide ribosomal RNA is filed under the name uncultured bacterium. RNAcentral describes it as "bacterial SSU rRNA". It matches the Rfam family "Bacterial small subunit ribosomal RNA", at positions 335 to 782 of the family's 1533-position model. The record is from RNAcentral.
ACUCCUACGGGAGGCAGCAGUGGGGAAUAUUGCGCAAUGGACGAAAGUCUGACGCAGCGACGCCGCGUGGAGGAUGAAGGUUUUCGGAUCGUAAACUCCUGUCAAGAGGGAAGAAACCUAUUAUGAAUAAUACUCAUAGUAAUUGACGGUACCUCUAGAGGAAGCACCGGCUAAUUCAGUGCCAGCAGCCGCGGUAAUACUGAAGGUGCAAGCGUUAAUCGGAAUCACUGGGCGUAAAGCGCUCGUAGGUGGCUUUGUAAGUCAGGUGUGAAAGCCCACGGCUCAACCGUGGAAUUGCACUUGAUACUGCAUCGCUAGAGUAUAGGAGAGGGAAGUGGAAUUUCUGGUGUAGGAGUGAAAUCCGUAGAGAUCAGAAGGAACACCCGUGGCGAAGGCGACUUCCUGGACUAUUACUGACACUGAGGAGCGAAAGCGUGGGAGCAAACAGGAUUAGA